CGCAUCCAAGGUGGACGUGUAGCCCCACCGUAGCGAGUGUGCACCAAUGUGACAGUGACGAAAUCAGUACUGCUUGAACGAAGUAAAACAUUUAUUUCCGCGUGGCUGGUACACUUUUGGUUGGCAUACACAUGAUAAAGAAAGCGGAUACAGAAACCAGCAUACCACCAGAGUAUAUUCUUCACAAGCAUUUAGGUCUACUUCGCGACCAAGCUCUUUGUGCCGAUGAAGUAGGGCGAUAUGGUUUAGUCUGGCCUGCCCCAUUGUAGAACUGCCGGUCUACAGCGAAUAAUGGCUAGCUUGCGGUGCACCUAUGUCCUAUGAGUCGUGUACCGCUCUGACAGACGUGCUCAUUGUGCAAAUCCUGACGAACGUACUUUCGUCACAUCAAAUCAGAAGUAAGAACUGUGACAACCCUCCCCAGUCUCCCCGAAGUUUUGACCCGCCGGAGGCAUGAGAAAGACCUUUCAGACGUGCCGGAGGUCACAGAAACUCUUUCACGUCCUGACGAGGUUGCGACACGCUGCUUUGCAAUGUCCAUUAGCAUGUCUCGGUGAAGUUGAAAGCGACCUGCAUGCAGGACUUCUAUAUAUAGAACUCGCACAAAUAAGUGCAUGUCAACCUAUCCCGUCAAGAACUUUUCGACUCUGGCCGAAUGCAAUCCGACCAGCGUUGCCCACAAGACUUCCAUCGGCGCAGGGAACUUUCCCUGGCGACGCUGCUGGGACCUGUCCGGCACACCAGACAGUGGGCAGUCACCCGAGCCCUCCUGUGCUACAUGAAGGACACUGGGCUGCUCAGCGGCCUUUGAGCCACCCCAUCGUCCCCCGCAACUUUUUCUUUUCCUUUUUUGCUUCGUUUUUCUCUUUUGGGAAGAGCAAGUCGGCCUCGGCCUGUCUGACCUUUCCUCCUUUCCUUUUUUCUUCUUCUCCAAUAAACAUAUCCCCCCCUGCCUUUUUCUCUUUCACCUGUGGGGGAGGACCUGAAAGA
Ornithodoros turicata is the source of this 990-nucleotide long non-coding RNA. RefSeq lists it as uncharacterized. The record is from RefSeq and is a predicted model, not a curated record. Lineage: Eukaryota; Metazoa; Arthropoda; Arachnida; Ixodida; Argasidae. The transcript has 6 exons.